GAUGAACGCUGGCGGCGUGCCUAAUACAUGCAAGUAGAACGCUGAAGACUUUAGCUUGCUAAAGUUGGAAGAGUUGCGAACGGGUGAGUAACGCGUAGGUAACCUGCCUACUAGCGGGGGAUAACUAUUGGAAACGAUAGCUAAUACCGCAUAACAGCAUUUAACCCAUGUUAGAUGCUUGAAAGGAGCAAUUGCUUCACUAGUAGAUGGACCUGCGUUGUAUUAGCUAGUUGGUGAGGUAACGGCUCACCAAGGCGACGAUACAUAGCCGACCUGAGAGGGUGAUCGGCCACACUGGGACUGAGACACGGCCCAGACUCCUACGGGAGGCAGCAGUAGGGAAUCUUCGGCAAUGGGGGCAACCCUGACCGAGCAACGCCGCGUGAGUGAAGAAGGUUUUCGGAUCGUAAAGCUCUGUUGUAAGAGAAGAACGUGUGUGAGAGUGGAAAGUUCACACAGUGACGGUAACUUACCAGAAAGGGACGGCUAACUACGUGCCAGCAGCCGCGGUAAUACGUAGGUCCCGAGCGUUGUCCGGAUUUAUUGGGCGUAAAGCGAGCGCAGGCGGUUUAAUAAGUCUGAAGUUAAAGGCAGUGGCUUAACCAUUGUUCGCUUUGGAAACUGUUAGACUUGAGUGCAGAAGGGGAGAGUGGAAUUCCAUGUGUAGCGGUGAAAUGCGUAGAUAUAUGGAGGAACACCGGUGGCGAAAGCGGCUCUCUGGUCUGUAACUGACGCUGAGGCUCGAAAGCGUGGGGAGCAAACAGG
Molecule: ribosomal RNA, 765 nt
Filed under: uncultured Streptococcus sp.
Lineage: Bacteria; Bacillati; Bacillota; Bacilli; Lactobacillales; Streptococcaceae
Description: bacterial SSU rRNA
Rfam family: Bacterial small subunit ribosomal RNA
Source: RNAcentral